CCGUUCUCAACGGGGUGCUGAAUGACUCGAUGCGCAAUGCGGCGAAGAGUGAGGAGGCUGAGAAAAAACCCGUCGAACCUGAUCCGGUUAAUACCGGCGAAGGGAUUUGAGAGUGCAUUUUGC
RNAcentral lists this non-coding RNA (123 nucleotides) under Serratia sp. (in: enterobacteria). RNAcentral describes it as "Serratia sp. TPP sequence". It matches the Rfam family "TPP riboswitch aptamer (THI element)". From Rfam's summary of the family: Vitamin B(1) in its active form thiamin pyrophosphate (TPP) is an essential coenzyme that is synthesised by coupling of pyrimidine and thiazole moieties in bacteria. The previously detected thiamin-regulatory element, thi box was extended, resulting in a new, highly conserved RNA secondary structure, the THI element, which is widely distributed in eubacteria and also occurs in some archaea. The record is from RNAcentral. Lineage: Bacteria; Pseudomonadati; Pseudomonadota; Gammaproteobacteria; Enterobacterales; Yersiniaceae.